AUUGAACGCUGGCGGCAUGCCUUACACAUGCAAGUCGAACGGCAGCGGGGGAGAAGCUUGCUUUUCCUGCCGGCGAGUGGCGAACGGGUGAGUAAUACAUCGGAACGUGCCCUGUAGUGGGGGGUAACUAGUCGAAAGAUUACCUAAUACCGCAUACGACCCGAGGGUGAAAGUGGGGGACCGCAAGGCCUGAGGCUACAGGAGCGGCCGAUGUCUGAUUAGCUAGUUGGUGGGGUAAAGGCCUACCAAGGCGACGAUCAGUAGCUGGUCUGAGAGGACGAUCAGCCACACUGGGACUGAGACACGGCCCAGACUCCUACGGGAGGCAGCAGUGGGGAAUUUUGGACAAUGGGCGAAAGCCUGAUCCAGCAAUGCCGCGUGUGUGAAGAAGGCCUUCGGGUUGUAAAGCACUUUUGUCCGGAAAGAAAUGGCUCUGGUUAAUACCUGGGGUCGAUGACGGUACCGGAAGAAUAAGGACCGGCUAACUACGUGCCAGCCGCCGCCGUAA
Molecule: ribosomal RNA, 508 nt
Filed under: uncultured bacterium
Lineage: Bacteria
Description: partial 16S ribosomal RNA
Rfam family: Bacterial small subunit ribosomal RNA
Source: RNAcentral